CCAAUAGCGUAUAUUAAAGUUGUUGCAGUUAAAAAGCUCGUAGUUGAAUUUCGGGGUCAGCAGGUUGGUCGUGCCUAUGGUAUGCACUGGCCUUGCUGAUUCCUCCCUCUUGAUGAGCCGUAAUGUCAUUAAUUUGGUGUUGCGGGGAAUCAGGACUGUUACUUUGAAAAAAUUAGAGUGUUUAAAGCAGGCAAGCGCUUGAAUACAUUAGCAUGGAAUAAUGAAAUAGGACGUUUGAUCCUAUUUUGUUGGUUUCUAGGAUUGACGUAAUGAUUAAUAGGGAUAGUUGGGGGCAUUAGUAUUCAAUUGUCAGAGGUGAAAUUCUUGGAUUUAUUGAAGACUAACUACUGCGAAAGCAUUUGCCAAGGAUGUUUUCAUUAAUCAAGAACGAAAGUUAGGGGAUCGAAGACGAUCAGAUACCGUCGUAGUCUUAACCAUAAACUAUGCCGACUAGGGAUCGGAUGAUGUUAAUUUUUUAAUGACUCAUUCGGCGCCUUACG
This 500-nucleotide ribosomal RNA is filed under the name uncultured Glomeromycotina. Its description in RNAcentral is "partial small subunit ribosomal RNA". It matches the Rfam family "Eukaryotic small subunit ribosomal RNA", at positions 591 to 1092 of the family's 1831-position model. The record is from RNAcentral. Lineage: Eukaryota; Fungi; Glomeromycota.